UACGGCUCAGUAACACGUGGACAACCUGCCCUGCGGUGAGGGAUAACUCCGGGAAACUGGAGAUAAUACCUCAUAGUUUACCAUCGCUGGAAUGCCUGGUAAGCGAAAGGUCCGCCGCCACAGGAUGGGUCUGCGGCCGAUUAGGUUGUUGUUGGGGUAACGGCCCAACAAGCCUGUGAUCGGUACGGGUUGUGGGAGCAAGAGCCCGGAGAUGGAUUCUGAGACACGAAUCCAGGCCCUACGGGGCGCAGCAGGCGCGAAAACUUUACAAUGCAGGCAACUGUGAUAAGGGAACCCCGAGUGCCCGUAUGGACGGGCUGUUCAGGUGCUUAAAAACCACCUGGAGAAAGGGCCGGGCAAGACCGGUGCCAGCCGCCGCGGUAAUACCGGCGGCUCGAGUGGUGGCCACUAUUACUGGGCUUAAAGCGUCCGUAGCUUGGUCGUUAAGCCUCUGGGGAAAUCUUCCGGCUCAACCGGAAGGCGUCUCAGGGGAACUGGCGGCCUAGGGAUCGGGAGAGGUGAGAGGUACUCUGGGGGUAGGAGUGAAAUCCUGUAAUCCUCAGGGGACCACCUGUGGCGAAGGCGUCUCACCAGAACGACUCCGACAGUGAGGGACGAAAGCUGGGGGAGCAAACCGGAUUAGAUACCCGGGUAGUCCCA
RNAcentral lists this ribosomal RNA (660 nucleotides) under Methanomicrobiaceae archaeon 11aR. Its description in RNAcentral is "bacterial SSU rRNA". It matches the Rfam family "Archaeal small subunit ribosomal RNA", at positions 84 to 749 of the family's 1478-position model. Lineage: Archaea; Methanobacteriati; Methanobacteriota; Methanomicrobia; Methanomicrobiales; Methanomicrobiaceae. The record is from RNAcentral.